UAAGAAUACAUGGCUGGUUGUGGUGG
RNAcentral lists this non-coding RNA (26 nucleotides) under Drosophila erecta. The record is from RNAcentral. RNAcentral also lists the same sequence under 1 other name. Lineage: Eukaryota; Metazoa; Arthropoda; Insecta; Diptera; Drosophilidae.